RNAcentral lists this long non-coding RNA (1872 nucleotides) under Piliocolobus tephrosceles (Ugandan red Colobus). Its description in RNAcentral is "lncRNA (ENSPTEG00000007177.1)". The record is from RNAcentral. Lineage: Eukaryota; Metazoa; Chordata; Mammalia; Primates; Cercopithecidae.
AUAAUAGUAACAACAAAAAAAAUAACGGAAGCUGGAAAAAUAACGGAAGCUGGAAAAAUAACGGCAGCUGGAAAAAUAACGGCAGCUGGAAAAAUAACGGCAGCUGGGAAAAUAACAGCAGCUGGGAAAAUAACAGCAGCUUGGAAAAUAACAGCAGCUUGGAAAAUAACAGCAGCUGGAAAAAUAACAGCAGUUGGAAAAAUAACAGCAGCUGGAAAAAUAACAGCAGCUGGAAAAAUAAACAGAUGUGUCGACGAUGCAUUUCAUAUAAAAAAUCAACUAUGAAAGGAAAAACAGAAGGUAAUGGUAAAAUGUACAUACCAGAUAUGUUCUACGAAUUUAAUGAUAGUAUAUCUAUAAAUUAUAAUGAUAAUAUUUUUACAUUUAAAGCAAAAAAUGAUAAGUGUUUUAAAAUAAAGCGUUUCUUUUCAUGUUCUAAGAGUAUUAAAUUUAUUUUAGGAAAAUUAAAAUCUUAUAAUAAUAAAUUAAAAUGCAUAAAGAUAGAUUCGUAUAAGUACAAUGAAGUAAUAAAUACUGCUACUUGGAAACACAAUGAUCAGACUGAUAAAUUAAAAUAUGCUUCAAAAAUUAAAAAAUUUAAUGAAUGGUAUAAUAUUUGGGUGAAAGAUCUUUUAUUUAAUUACUACAAAAAAACAAGUAUAUUAAUUUUACUAUUACUAAUUUUAAAUGUAUUAAAUAUAUUUUUACAAACAAUAUCAUUUUAUUUUUUACUAAAAACAGCAGAUUUGACCAAAAUAAUACAAAGCAAACCUAAUCCAAAUACAAGAAAACAAAUACUAAAUGCAGCGUAUGAUAUUAACAAUAUGAUUAAUUCUACAAACCUAUAUAAAUACAUAGUUUUAAGAAUACCUAUACAACUUAUUUUAAAUAUACUAUUGGUACUACCAUCUAUAAUAAUUAAAAAGUGUAAACAUUUAUAUUUAUUUCACAUAUGUAGUAUUUUAAAUUGUUUAGUAAACGCAUUUUUUGGUAGUAUAGACAUUUAUUACACCUUGAAUUCAAAAAUAUUUUACAGAAGUAACGUAGAUAGUGUAUUAGUUCAUUACAACAUGAUAGACAUAUUUUACAUUGGGAAAAUAAUUACAAGUAUAUUUAUAAUCCCAUUUAUUACCAAUUUUGAUCAGAUGAAAACGUUUAUAUUAGUAUGUUUAAGUUCUAUUUGUUAUACAAUAAUAGCAUAUGAACAAAUUGUUGUCCGUUCGUUUGUAGUUUAUUUUACUGUGAAUUCAUUAAUUGCUUGCGUUGUCAUUAUUUGUGUAUUAACGGUCAAAUACUCAAAGUUGUUGACACAAUUAAGAAAACUUUUAUUUAUCAAAUAUGUUUUACCAUACUAUACGUAUUUGACAUUAAUUAAAACAAACCCUGUUAUAAAUAUGACAAUUAACAAAAACAGUACCCUAUCACAUAAAAACAGCCAUGGUAGCUAUAUUUAAAUAAAAUUUUGUACAUUACAUUUGCAACCGCACUAAAUGAAUUAACAAACUCACAUGGGGAAAUAUAUUUGUUUUUAUACUUUUUUUUUAAUAUAUACACUUUUGACGCUAUUUUUUAACAUAUACAUAAGAUGAUGCAUUUUGAUAUUUGUUAUUUGUCCUUAUUUGCUACUUGUCCUUAUUUGCUACUUGUCCUUAUUUGCUGCUUGUCCUUACUUGCUGCUUGUCCUUACUUGCUGCUUGUCCUUACUUGCUGCUUGUCCUUACUUGCUACUUGUUUGUUAAUUAUUUUCAUGCUUUCUUAUUUUUUAUUCGCUCCUAUUUGUUCCUACGUACUCUUAUUCUUAUUUGUUAUAUGUUUUUAUCCGUUCCCAUUUGUUAUUUGUUAUUUGUUAUUCGUUUUUUUUUUUUUUUUUUU